AUGGAGGAAAGGUGGGGGUUGGAGGCAGGAGAACAAUCCCACCCCCUGACAUCAAUUUUGUGCUGGCACAUAAGUAGCUGGGAAUCAUUGCAGCAGGUAAGUUGCAGAACCCUGACACACUCAGGGAUGAUUGAUAGUUUUUUCCUGUUAAUAUCAUGGAAUGGGUUUGUCAUGGGGAAGUGGAAGACUGGCAGUGGGUUGUACUUGGCAUUAUGAAACAUCAAUGCUUGUUUGCCACAGGUUGUUGAGUGGCACUAUCAUUGUAUGGAACAAACACACCGAUUUUAUGGAAUGCAGUAUGGAUGUGAACUUGAAGACUAUUCUAACAGUGGAAUACUGUAUAUGUAUAACUGUAAAACAUUAAUAGUUGGAUCUCAAUUUAGUCAUGAUAUUUUGAAUAGAUAUUGAAAACAAUUACAGUAAAAGUAUGACUAAGUUUACAAUUCAACCUGUUACACAUAAUUAGCAAAUAUAAAUUUGUUUAGAUUCUCUUACAAAUAUUUGUGCAUAUUUGUUUUUGUAUUUAGCAUUGUGUAGUACAAAGGGAUGUCAAAACUGCCCCCAGGCAACUUCUUUUUCGUCUUCCUCCUUUUGCUUUAAAAGUGAUUUCACUAACAGAACAGAAUAUGAAUACCCCGCUGAGCCAAAUAGGAAGAAUUAUGUGUAUUCAUACAUAGUUAAAUCCCCAGAGCAGUUUGAGUUUUUUUAAAAAUGCUGUGACUAAUAAAGUCAAAAGCCACCCUCACAAUAGUGACUGGCAAUAAAAAAACCCCUAAUUAAUCAUCAUCAUCAAGAAAAGGGGCAUAUUUUGGAGGCUGGUGAUUCAUCUUAAAUAUAUUGGGUUCCAUUCAGUCUGGUAAACUGGAUGACCUUUCAUGCCACAGGAUGUCUCCUUUUCUACUCUUCUAAGUAACUUCCUCUGCCUAUCCCAGAACUGCUCAGGAGAGUCCUUUAGUCGAGCAGAUUUGAAGUGUUCAUGGGAGCCAUGUUGAAAUAGUAUCCCAAAACUGUGGUAUCCAUUUGGCUGAUGGAGGAACACAAUUGGAUAUAAGCCAUUCACUUGAAAGUAACCUCCUUUGAUUUAAUGGAACAUGUAAGCAACUAUGCUUAGGAUCACAGGCUAAGUGGCAAUGGCAAGUCAUGACUGAUUAUUCAACUGAGGAUUAAUCUUGCCAAUCAGAGUAAAGUACUUUUGGAUUCUUUCAAAACUCCCUCAUGCUUUGUGAGUCAGAAAAUGAAUACGUGACAAACUCAUUUACUGACACUGUCAUUCAUCUAAAAGUCUGCAUGACCAUUCUCUCCUUCAAAGCGACUGAACUCCCUGCAGCAUCUAAACCAGAACAAACAGCUUUGCUAGGCAAUCUAAAAAUAUCUUGACAAGUUCAACCAUCCUAGUUUAAACCUUUGAGCACUUGCCACAUUAACGCAUCCUGCUUCUGUGAAUUUUGCUGCAGUGCACUAGGUCAUAUGUUUGCAUAUCCCCAAACCAGGCAAGUUGCUGUGGAUUUAUGGUCCUAAAAUUCAAGUUCUGAACUCAAUGUAUCAAUAACUAUAUGGAAGGAUAGUGAUUAUGCCCUACCGACGAUAGUGGUUCUUCUGCAGAACUGGACUAUUUCAAUGGGUCAGUAGGGUAAAUAAUGUAAGAUGAAUACUAUAUUCA
This 1660-nucleotide long non-coding RNA is filed under the name Anolis carolinensis (green anole). Its description in RNAcentral is "lncRNA (ENSACAG00000038207.1)". Lineage: Eukaryota; Metazoa; Chordata; Lepidosauria; Squamata; Anolidae. The record is from RNAcentral.